This is a non-coding RNA of Nothobranchius furzeri (turquoise killifish), 3445 nucleotides long. The record is from RefSeq and is a predicted model, not a curated record. NCBI's taxonomy places the organism in Eukaryota, Metazoa, Chordata, Actinopteri, Cyprinodontiformes, Nothobranchiidae.
GGAAACGGGCGGAGCUUCGAAAGCAACAUACCUGUGUUAAAAACGACCUUGAUCAACACAGGUGCUGAAAGCGCCUCAAACGCACCAAACUGGAGUAUUUUCAGAACCAGACCUCGACCCUCCUGCCAAGCUCUGGUUAUCGACUUGUUGAGGGAGAUGCAUUCUGACAUCCUGCAAACAGCAUGAGAGGGGGCUAGGAUGAAUUCAGACCGUGGAAUCAUGAGUCUGUCAAAGCGAACGUCUUCGUGGUCGGUGGAGGAAGUGCUGGAGUGGAUUAGGAGCAGCACCCGAUGCACAUGAACACACUCCAUAAAUCCAUCAUCAAACAUGAUAUAGCAGGCCGUGCUUUGCUGAGACUGAAGGAGCAUCAUCUGGAGCUUUUUGGGUUGGAGGAUGAGGAGCAGCAGCAGAAAGUCCUGCAGGAUCUUCUUCUUCUCAAAGUUCAGGAGGAAAUCUGUGAACUUGGUGACAUCUGCUCUGACUGUUUCCCUCCAUAAUGGGCCUCAAAACACAGAGAAAAAGGAAUCCAGCUUUUUUUUUAUUUCCUGUCCGUCCAUUCAUCCGUGUGAAGGAGAUUGAAAGGUGGGAGUGAUGGAAAUAACAAGAGAAGGUGGAUAGAACGAGGGAUCGAUGUGGAGAGAAGGAAACCCAUUUCCUGUGUGAAAUUUGACCCGAGCAGAUGGAUGAGAUUAGUGUUUGUCUGGUUCUGAUCCCCUCUGUCCUUUCCUCUCUUUGCCUUUAACCACACUAGUAUGAAUUAUCUAAAGUUUUAAUCUAUUUAAUAUGAGAAACGGCUCCAGGGUGGUUGAAUCUUUUCUUUUUGUGUCUGAGAUUGUAAACGUUUCUGCAGCGUCUGAUUCAAUUUCAAUUCAAGUUUAUUCAUAUAGCGCAAAAUCACGACAAGUCGUCUCAAGGCACUUCACAUAAUUAACAUUCCAAUACAGGCCAGUUCAUUAAGCCAAUCAGAAAAAAAGUUUCCUAUAUAAGGAACCCAGCAAAUUACAUCAAGCAGUCCUUAUACUAAACAAGCAUUUAGCGACAGUGGAGAGGAAAACUCCCUUUUAACAGGAAGAAACCUCCAGAGGAUCCUGGCUCAGUAUAAGCAGCCAUUCACCACGACUCACUGGGGAUCGAGAAGACAGAAAACACACGCACACACAGGCACACACCGGCCAGCUAAACCACCUCUACUAAAACACACACACACAUUCACGUAAACCCAUACACACACACACCAGACCGGUCCAACGUCCAGAACUUUAGUCAUACUUUCUCAUACAUGCACAGAACGGAACAGAACCGGACAACACUACCUGCAGGUUUUCAUACACAGAGACACAAUGAGAUGAAUCACAGGCUGCACAACACAAAAUGGGAGGCAGCCCAGCCUACAGAACCAUGAAUACACAGACGAACGACAAGGGUAAAUUAUGAACGGUUUGAGUUUCUUUAGCCAAUUAUAACGAUGAUUAACUGUAGCGUACCUUUAUUGCACCAUGAAAUAUUUAAACAAUACAAGCGUUAGUGAGUUUACUUAAGUGAUUUUGCACAUCCAACCCUAUUACGACCCAUAUUCACUUUCUCAAUUCGUCUUGGGGUGUCUGUGUACGCAGACACAGACUCAUUACAACCUCCCUCACGUUUACUCUGUUCCCUCAGAGGCAAACGAGAGUCCAGGACAAGGUCCGGCGGCUCUCAGUCCAGCCCUCAGCCGGGGCCCGAAACGUCUUUAGUGUGUGGAUAGCAAAAAAUCACUACCAGCCGUAACACCACACUGCCGACCAGUUAUGAGAAAAAAGGGUGCAAUUUAAUUUAGGUACUCACUCUUCUGUGUGACAGGCUCGCCUUGAAUCUGAUUAGCAAGAGCCGUAGGUGGGAGUCCGCCUGUGAAGCUAAAACAGCCGGCCGAUGGGCAAUUCUCAGCCCCCCGGACUUUGGAUGAGGAAGUGGCGCCAUUCGGCUAUCCAGAGGCGAUCUCCCACUGAAAGGCUCUGCUAUCCCGGGUUUCGGCACCAAAUGUUGGGUAAUUUAUAUUUUCCAUAACCCUUUACCUGAAAUAAACACACCAAAUACAAAGAGGAGUUCAUUUUACACUGUCUCACCAAACAGUGGAGAGGAGGCGAUGCACAACUCCCUCCGGAGCUGUUUCCAUCGUCUCCCCCACCCCUCUCAGCUCAACAGAGGUUUUUAUUGAACAAUGAGAUGGAGGGCGGGCCUUCCUUGAGUUUCAGAGUUACAGACUCAUCUCCUAGGAAACCAUAUUCCAGAGAUAACAGCACAACAGGCUUACAGAGGAAUCAUUUACACAGAUGAAAUACACACACAAUUCCUCAGCUGACCGGUAACUUAAUCAACAUUCUUCAGAAUCAGCUGACCGGGGUAACUUAAUCAACACAUAUUGUUGGACCUUCAUCUUGUCUCAGGAAGUUGGGUGAUCACAGAGGCCAUUCUUCACCACUCUAAAAUGUGAUCAAAGAAGAUCGAUGACCUUUCGUUUAAACAAAUACUUAUCAUGUCCUGCAACGUUCUUUAGGCCUCAAAAAGGUACAUUAAAUACAGGAAAAAACCUUAAAUAUAGGAAAAAACCUAUCAGUGGUGGUGGUAGAGUUUGUAUUAUCUGUUUAAGUCCUAAAAAUAUAUAGAAGUUGCAUUUUUAAACAUACUAAAAACUUUUUCUGCUGAUAUUUUUGUUCGACUUCCCAUUUAUAAAGUCAAAAUGCAUUUUGUGUGAUUUUAACUGAACUGACACCAAAUAACAGUUGUUUUCUUUUUAAACCUAAGUUUAAAAGUACUGGUACUUUUUGUGUUUAAGGUCAAAUUUCUUUCGUAAUGAGAAAAAAAACAAUUCUUUCAGUUUGCCCUGAAAGUUUCAUGAGAAUUUCUUCCACAAAUAGGUCAGCUUCAUUAAGGACAUGAAAGUAUUUCAAGCAUCCAUUUGAUUAUGCACUGUGUUUUAAAGGUUAUGUCUGUUUUAAAUAUUUCUUUUGCUUAAGUCCUUUAAAUAAAGAAGUUCUGCUUUUGCAGCACAACCCAGCAGCUUUAUUUUAGGCAUCAUGUCUUUAAGGCAACGACAGCAGAAAUGUAAUCAUAAAUCAUUUGUCGCUUUGCAGCUGCAGAUCCUCAUAAGUAUUCCUCUAAACUUUCUUGUUUUGUGUCUGGUUGGAAGUGUCUUUGGGGACGGGCAACUGUUAAAGAUCUACUGCUGAAGGUCAUAAUAGUGAAAACGUCUUAAUGUGCAGCUUAAAUCAAGAGUCAGGUGUUGCAAAAGCUGAAAACUGCAGAGAAAUUGAGCAAUAAAAGAGUCUGACUGGAUCACGUCCUCUGAAUCAGACUCAUAAAAUCUGGGCAGACUUUUAGAGUGGUACUUUUAAUGGAUUUGACUGCCUCAGUCAUAGGAGUUAAACGUUUAAUGUGUCUAAAUAAGGAAUAAAUACAUUAAAAUCUA